This 3023-nucleotide unclassified non-coding RNA is filed under the name Hevea brasiliensis (rubber tree). The record is from RNAcentral. Lineage: Eukaryota; Viridiplantae; Streptophyta; Magnoliopsida; Malpighiales; Euphorbiaceae.
GGCGCAUGUUGGGUGGUGGCUCGUGGAAACCACAUGUUCCUCUUUCUUCUCUGCGCGCUGUCUGUAGCUUCCAAUCUUCUCCCCUCUCUAUUUCUCCGAUCAGGUUUUCCAAUUGAAUUUGAAACCCUAGAAUUCUUUUCUGUUUUUUGAAUUUUAGCUAUGUGCUAGAAAGAUAUAGGAGGAAACUGGGGAGAGUGAGGAGUUUAACUAGAAUGGAUCAAUGGAAGACAACAACCAACGAUUUCUCUCAAUCUUUGGCGGCAGAUGUAGCUCCUUCGACUUCUCCUCACUCCAUGACCCCCUCCAACUCCAUCCCCGAACGCAGACAUAGGCUGGAACCGGAGGUCAAGGAUCCAAUUGCUGCAAGAAAGUUUCAGAAAGCAGACAGGGAGAAAUUGAGGAGAGACCGUCUGAAUGAGCAGUUUCUUGAGCUGGGAAACACAUUAGACCCAGAUAGACCCAAGAAUGACAAGGCAACCAUUUUGACUGACGCAAUUCAAAUGCUGAAGGAUCUAACAGCUGAAGUCAGCAGACUAAAGGCUGAUUACACUGCACUUUCGGAAGAAUCACAUGAGCUAAUGCAGGAGAAGAAUGAGCUGAGAGAAGAAAAGGCAUCUUUAAAAUCUGAUAUUGAAAACUUAAAUUCUCAGUGUCAACAAAGGCUCAGGGUUAUGUUUCCAUGGCCUGCCGUUGAUCCUUCUGUUGUCAUGGGUCCUACUUAUCCAUAUCCAGUCCCCUUACCUGUCCCACCUGGUCCAAUUCCCAUGCAUCCAUCAAUGCAGCCAUUUCCCUUCUUUAGAAAUCAAAAUCCUAAUGUAAUUCCUAGUCCUUGCUCAACCUUUAUUCCAUACCCAACUCCUGCUAAUCCUCCACAUGAACAGCCAUCGGUCCAAUAUGCUUCCACUUCCCUUAUUUCAAGCAAACUGGAUUCCAAAAGCAAGUCAGCAGAUCAUCCAAGGGGCAGCAAUGCAGAAAGGCGUGAUGAUUCUAAUGAUGUUGCAACAGAACUUGAACUGAAAAUGCCUGGAUCAUCACCUCAACAGGAUAAGUCAACUGGAGAAAGGAAAGGCAAGCAAUUGCAUGGAAAGGAAAAAAAUACUACAAAUGGUAGCUCCUCAAGCAGGUAUUCUUUUUCCCAUGGUAUUCAGGAUAGUUCCUCUAAUAGUGUGGGCGAUGUCACAAAAUCCACUAAUUGAUAUACUGCUUGGUUUUCCUAUUGGCUUUCUCCGAAUUCUAACAUACAAAAGUAGUGCAACUCAUUGUGACUCGUGGGAAAUAAUGCCCAUAGCUUGAGUUUUGGCUGUAACAAAUUUGAUGUCUCUUGUGACCAAUUCUGAGUUUGGAAGCGAGGUGAAUUAUGCUGGCAACUGGUCAGCAAUGAUGGAAAUUGGUGUUAAUCUCUUAGUUGUCCUUAGCUCCUGAAGAACCUGGGUUGGGUUCACCAUUCGCCCCUCCCAUACUUUUACUCAAGUAACUUGUCCAGAAUGUAUUCCAGUUGCUGACCAACUGAGAAAAUGCUUCUAACAUGCCUACAGAUCUCUCCUACGCUUGAUAGCUUGCUGUCUAGUAGGUUUUAAGUGGAUAAAAUUCUAUGUAAAUAAGUACAAAAGUGUCCGACUCUUUAAUUGACCAUUUAAUUUAGUGGUACAUUGCCUUUUUGGGUGUAAUUUACAUAUGAAAUUAUCCAUUGCCAUUUACAGAUCUUGCAGUGACAGUGAAAACUGUGUAAAAUAUAUAACUCCUUUGUUCUUGAUGGAAGAACCAUAAUGAGUUAAAACACAGUUAUUUUUCCCAUCUUAGUAGAGACAAAUUAUGCACUGAAAUAGAAAAUGAGUUCUUUAUGGUAAUUGCAUUUUAACUGAAAGAGUUUCCUUAUUGGUUAUGUUUGUUUCUUGAAUUGGACUGCCGUGGGUGUUGAAUGGUUACAGACAAGUCACACCUCUUCAAGGACAGUGCAGACUCUAAUUCUGCAGCUUUAUCUGUAAGGUUAUAAGUGUUAUAAAAAUGGUUGAUUUGUUUUACCAUCUCUUAUUCCCAUCAAGCAGGACUAAACUUGCAGAUCAUUUAACUUAAUGGAUCAGUAUCAGUAAAUUUCAUGAGAAUAGAAAGGGAAGAGAAGUAAUUAUUAUUAUUAUUAUUUAGAAGCGUUGAAGGACAAAGAACAGUAAUUAGUCUUACUGGUGGUGGAGAUGAAGCAUGAAGGAAAACAAAACGUUGAUGUUAAGAAAAUAUUUUCAAUACUAUCAAGUUCAGAUUUAUUUUUAAAUAGAAGGCAAUUUUGAAAUUGAAACCGCAGAAUGAAGGAAACGUUUAAAAUAACAAAAUAGCAGAACCUGCUCUGCCUAGCGUAUGCCUACUCAAAUUUCAUGGGCAAAUUUCACUUAUGGUAUAUAAAUUUUGGGGUCGGUAACACUAUUGAAUAUAAACUUUAAAAUUUCACUUAAAAUCUCAUAAACUAUUGUAAAUGUCAUUUUAAACCUCAUAUAAUCUACAACAACCCAUUUAAAAGUUAAAGGAUGAUGUGGCAUGUCUAGGUAAAGAUUAAAAUUUAUCUUUGGCUCUUUUCUCUCUCUUUCAAUGUAUAAUAUUUUACUGUCUCACUUUCUCAUCUUUAUUUAUCUUUAAAACUUUGUCUCUCUCAUUUCUCUCUCUUUCUGCUAGAAGGUGAAAUUGUGCUUUUUUUACUCUCUUUUUUUCUUCACGUUUGUAGGUGAAGAAUAUUCUUAUGUUUUUCUUUUACUUUCUUCUGUUGAUGAUGUCUCAGUUUGAUGGGAGAGGGCUAUCAAUCAAUGACAUUCCUUUGUCAAUGUGAAGAACAGGCGAAAAUAAGAAUAUCAUGGAUCAAUGCAAACACCAGAAAGAAGCUUUUCAAAUCAAAUAUUACUAUUCAAAUAUAUAUUGUUAAAGCAAUCAGUUUGUAACUAAUCUUGAUUGUUGGCCAUUUUUGCUUCCACAGUUGUGAAAUUGACAAUGGUCCUUCAAAUCUUCUCAUUCGAAUCAACUGAUAAUAAAAAAUAGCGUAC